GAGGCCUGGGGGGACUAUUGGGGAACUCACGAGAAGCCUGGACGUGCUGAAUCCGAUCCGAGAAGGCAGGGCCAAGCAGGUGGGGCACUCCAGCUCUGUUUCCGGGGAGAUACUUCACCUGCCUAACCUGCACUCAGAACUUAAGCUCCACAUUGGCCAGAUUUAUUUGCUGAUAUAUCCCAAGUUCUGGAACAGUGUCUAACACGGAGUAGGAGCUCAGGAGAUAUUUACUGAAGAAUGACUCCUGUCCCCGUGGAACUUAGAGUCUACCAAGGCAGCCAGAUAAACCCAUUAUUAUAAAUCGUGUACCUGUGAACGACCUGACGUCAAGGAACGGAUUACGUCCAUUUCUGCAUUCCUGGCCAGCAGACUACUGUGGAUGAGGCACACAGGAAGUACUGAGAUGAAGGUCACAAGCACCUCUUCAGCAAAGCCCACCUCCCUCUCUCGCUUGAUUCCCCGGCCAUCCUUAUCAAAGACCUUCCAGGUGAAUAGGCAGCCGUCCUCAGCAGUGGUCAGCAGGAAUUGAUCAUCAAAGGGGCAGAGGGUACCUCAUGGCACGAAUGGUUCCCACCGAGGUGCCCACAAACAUCAUGCGUCCGGAAUGCGAGAUGGCAAUGGCUGUGUAGGUGACGUCAAACGCCGGUAUCUCUCGAAGGAUCUGGGACACAGAUUCCAUUCAUACACAGCACCAUCUGUGCCACCAGAAAUCAGUUUGCUAUCAUCUGCAUUCCACGCAAUUGAGCGAAUCUGCAGGAGACAAAGAUACCCAGUGAAGAAGAAUCUUCGAAAAUAGCCCAGAGAGAGUGGACUUCUGGAAUGGAUGGCCAGUAGACAAGAUUUGACUCUGGAGGGGAUGUCUGGGCCAACAGGUAUUUGGAGUCUGGAGAAAAAGCCAUGCUAAUGAAUUUCUGAACUUGGAAAUCAAAAUUAUUAAGAACUCUUCGCUUCCGGCAAGGGAUGGAUGACAGUUCAUAAAUGGUCGGAAGUGUGAACCUAGGGUGACAUUGUGAAAUCAAUGACACUAAGGCAAGAUGCUCUAAGCCCUCUGUCACGCCCACAUAAGGGCUGCUGGAGGGCACCUUGGCUGUGCAGCAGCGCCAGUGCUGUGAAAGCGCCCGCUGUUCAGCCAGCUAGGGAAGAAGACGUGCCAAAUAGCUGAGACGUCUCCUUCCCUGGAGGAGUUAGGAGAAAACUCCGCUUCUCCAAGCUCUUGUGGCAAGACCUGAUGGCUGUCAGGUAAACCCACAGACAUCCGGGGCUUAACUGUCUCUAUGUGAUGCUGUGCUUCAGCGGUCACGUUCCAUGUCGACUCUCAUGUUCUGCUUCUGGAUCUGGUUCCUUUUUUCUUGGAAAAGAUAAUCAGUAAUAGUAAUAGAAAUGUUAAUGUUUUUGUUCUUUCUUGGUAAGUAUGGAAAAGGUGCUGAUGCAUCAUGCUCCUUACUUCACUUCGGGUGCCAGAAAUUCCUGAGCCCCUACCUGAGUGACACGUGAUGUACCCCCAGUCUCUGACCACCAUGACCACGCCCUACCUACCCCCAGAUUUGCAACUCAAUAAAAGUGAGAGCAUCCCAGCAUUUAGGGCCACUGCUGGUUUCUGUGAUUUGGGUAGCAGUGGACCCCUGGGCCCAAACUCUCUUUUCUUGAUUUCUGUAUCUCGUGUCUCUUAUUUCUACAAUUUCUUGUCUCUGCACCAGCAGGGAACGGCUCACAGAACCCUGUAGGGCUGGACCCUAUAUCUGGUGCCCAACGUGGCAGUGGACCCUACAGUAGUGGGCACUGUAGUGGACAGUGGUAGACACAAAGAAGAAAGGCGGCCUUGGUAUAGCUGUGUUUGGGCAUUAUGAAAAUGACUAGGGGCCAGGUGUGGUGGCUCAUACCUGUAAUCUCAGCACUUUGGGAGGCCAAGGUGAGUGGAUCACUUGAGAUCAGAAGGCUGAGGCAGGAGAACUGCUUGAACCUGGAAGCGUGGAGGUUGCAGUGAGCUGAGAUCGUGCCACUGCACUCCAGCCUGGGAGACAGAGCGAGACUCUGUCUCAAAAAGAAAAGGACUAGGGCAGGUGCCUCUGAGGAUGAGGU
Callithrix jacchus (white-tufted-ear marmoset) is the source of this 2079-nucleotide non-coding RNA. The record is from RefSeq and is a predicted model, not a curated record. NCBI's taxonomy places the organism in Eukaryota, Metazoa, Chordata, Mammalia, Primates, Cebidae.